This 379-nucleotide ribosomal RNA is filed under the name uncultured bacterium. RNAcentral describes it as "bacterial SSU rRNA". It matches the Rfam family "Bacterial small subunit ribosomal RNA", at positions 521 to 896 of the family's 1533-position model. The record is from RNAcentral.
UAACACGUAGGGACCGAGCGUUGUCCGGAUUUAUUGGGCGUAAAGAGCUCGUAGGCGGUUCAGCAAGUCGGGUGUGAAAACUCUGGGCUCAACCCAGAGACGCCACCCGAUACUGCUGUGACUAGAGUCCGGUAGGGGAGUGGGGAAUUCCUGGUGUAGCGGUGAAAUGCGCAGAUAUCAGGAGGAACACCGGUGGCGAAGGCGCCACUCUGGGCCGGCACUGACGCUGAGGAGCGAAAGCGUGGGUAGCAAACAGGAUUAGAUACCCUGGUAGUCCACGCCGUAAACGGUGGGCACUAGGUGUGGGUCCUUAUCAACGGGAUCCGUGCCGUCGCUAACGCAUUAAGUGCCCCGCCUGGGGAGUACGGCCGCAAGGCUA